RNAcentral lists this ribosomal RNA (701 nucleotides) under Faecalibacterium prausnitzii. RNAcentral describes it as "bacterial SSU rRNA". It matches the Rfam family "Bacterial small subunit ribosomal RNA", at positions 436 to 1164 of the family's 1533-position model. Lineage: Bacteria; Bacillati; Bacillota; Clostridia; Eubacteriales; Oscillospiraceae. The record is from RNAcentral.
GUGUUGAGGAAGAUAAUGACGGUACUCAACAAGGAAGUGACGGCUAACUACGUGCCAGCAGCCGCGGUAAAACGUAGGUCACAAGCGUUGUCCGGAAUUACUGGGUGUAAAGGGAGCGCAGGCGGGAAGGCAAGUUGGAAGUGAAAUCCAUGGGCUCAACCCAUGAACUGCUUUCAAAACUGUUUUUCUUGAGUAGUGCAGAGGUAGGCGGAAUUCCCGGUGUAGCGGUGGAAUGCGUAGAUAUCGGGAGGAACACCAGUGGCGAAGGCGGCCUACUGGGCACCAACUGACGCUGAGGCUCGAAAGUGUGGGUAGCAAACAGGAUUAGAUACCCUGGUAGUCCACACUGUAAACGAUGAUUACUAGGUGUUGGAGGAUUGACCCCUUCAGUGCCGCAGUUAACACAAUAAGUAAUCCACCUGGGGAGUACGACCGCAAGGUUGAAACUCAAAGGAAUUGACGGGGGCCCGCACAAGCAGUGGAGUAUGUGGUUUAAUUCGACGCAACGCGAAGAACCUUACCAAGUCUUGACAUCCUGCGACGGUGCUGGAAACAGUACUUUCCUUCGGGACGCAGAGACAGGUGGUGCAUGGUUGUCGUCAGCUCGUGUCGUGAGAUGUUGGGUUAAGUCCCGCAACGAGCGCAACCCUUAUGGUCAGUUACUACGCAAGAGGACUCUGGCCAGACUGCGUUGGAACAAA